Molecule: ribosomal RNA, 256 nt
Filed under: uncultured Lamproderma sp.
Lineage: Eukaryota; Evosea; Eumycetozoa; Stemonitida
Description: partial 18S ribosomal RNA
Rfam family: Eukaryotic small subunit ribosomal RNA
Source: RNAcentral
AUGCUUUUCCUAAAGAUUAAGCCAUGCAUGCCUAAGGCUAUGAGGAAGCAAUUCUCUCUGAAUCUGCGAACGGCUCCGCAAACCAGUUGUAAACCAAAGCAAGCUUGCUCGGGUUGGGCUUCGGCCUGGCCUGGGUGAUACGGAUAACCCUGGUAAUUCUGAGGCUAAUACGUGUAUGGAACACCCGGUGGACCGGCCUCACGGCUGGGAUAUCGGGAGACGAGUGAUGGAAUGUUUGGAUUACCAGGAACGGGCA